This 591-nucleotide ribosomal RNA is filed under the name Triticum aestivum (bread wheat). Its description in RNAcentral is "partial small subunit ribosomal RNA". Lineage: Eukaryota; Viridiplantae; Streptophyta; Magnoliopsida; Poales; Poaceae. The record is from RNAcentral.
AUGCAUAAGUACAAAGAAAUGAACAUUAAAUCAGGAGAAUACCUGAUAAAAUGUCUCUGUAUUUUUUUCUUGCUUAGUAUAAAUGUAAUAUUCUCCUUUUGGGUCAUAAACACGAACAGCUGUGGUGCACACGAGUUGGCUACAAAAUCUGAAACAUUUUUGAGUUCGUGUGUGACAACACGCAUGUGCACUCAUACAUGCAUGCACCCUGCACAUCAGCACAUACUACUAGCACAUCGCACACACUCACCACUCACGGGACAUACUACUAGCACAACGCACACACUCACCACUCACGCGACACACCAACGGAAUGCACGCACCCGACGGCAGCAAGCUACAACGUUGCGGAUUCGUCGCCGUCUGCGGUCGGAUGCCAUGGCCAUGCCCGACUACUCUGGCCAAUCUACUCCGCCAGGUCCUGGCCCGGACGCCUCCAUUUUUCCUCGUACUUAUCCUCGUGUGCAGCGCGUGUGCACACACACAGAGAGAAGAAUUAUAGGGGAGCCACACACUGAUGCUGCUGGACACCUGCUAUUUCUUUUUCCUUCAUUUAACAUACACACUGAGCCACAUAGUCUGCCAGGAUGA